CUGGUGCGAGUGUGACGUUACCGACUGAAUGUCACGUCGUUGCUAACCAGGCAUUUGCUUAUUUGCCGUUUAAGAUGAACGUUGCGAUGAUCUAUGGGGUCGACCGAUGGGGCACGUGGUGUGCGCGUGCCGAAAUGACUAACAGAAUUUCAAAACGGAUUUGCCACGUCGCGUUCUUCCCAAUCACUGGGUCAGAUUUUGUGCUUCCUAUUUGGUUCUACAUUCCAUUCUACGCCAGUGCGUUUAGACCUUCAGUGAGACCUUUGCUCGGGAUCAACAUAAUUUAUCAAUCAGCAGGCUCAUGUUGCUCUUAAUGACUUCAAACACAAAAACGGUUCUUUAUCGGCCAUUUACGAACUAUGGACUUGCUUAAAAUCUGAAGGCUAGUGGAUGGCUAAUAGAAAAAUGCGCUUUAUUCAAAAUUGUUAACAAGAUUUUCUGUUUAGUCCUUUUUGAUAAUGGUUGCCCAAGUCAUAGAGUUCACCCGCGGAAAACGCAGACAUUUAGUUUUUAAGAUAAACUGUGUGAGCGCAUCGCGCAACAUAUCAUCUUUCAUGGAAAUACAACAAAAGUGGCACAAGCA
This is a long non-coding RNA of Daphnia magna, 583 nucleotides long. RefSeq lists it as uncharacterized. The record is from RefSeq and is a predicted model, not a curated record. The transcript has 2 exons. Lineage: Eukaryota; Metazoa; Arthropoda; Branchiopoda; Diplostraca; Daphniidae.